This 2438-nucleotide long non-coding RNA is filed under the name Triticum aestivum (bread wheat). RNAcentral describes it as "long non-coding RNA (TAES_LNC014103)". Lineage: Eukaryota; Viridiplantae; Streptophyta; Magnoliopsida; Poales; Poaceae. The record is from RNAcentral.
UGCAUUGUUAAGAAAGAGUUUGAUGAUGCCACAAGAGCAAGAAUUAAAAGUCGUUUGUAGAACCAUGUUUCCUCAUGGCAGGAGGCGAGCAAUACUUUACUAUUACAAUGUUCAUUUUCAAUACAAUCAGAAGUAUGACACUGAUUGUCAAUUGCGCGUUCAUGCAAUACUUUACCCAUGAAAUAGAAGAGUUGUGCAGGCGUGUGAUUCAAGUUCUUCGACGGAAUGGACCCAACUCAUUCAGUGAAGAAAUUUCAAGGUUCUCUUUCGGAACUGGUUUGAGCUUCUAUAAGUUCAGUUUGAAGAACAGUAUCACAGAAUAAGGAAUCAUGAAAAUAAUGAGGUAACAGCAGAGGGUGAGUGUUGCAAAAAAGAUUGACGACUGGAGCUAAAAACAGGCAAGAGAAUGUACAGAAAAGCCUUACUUUAGAUUUAGCCAGUAGAGCAUGUGCCCUUCGCAUAGGGAUAAUAACUUUUAGUAAAACAGCAGCACCGGUUUGAUUCAGGGUAUACAAUAUCUUACAAACAGUCAAGGAUUCACCAACUCACCAGUCAAGCAUUAGAUAGAUAACAAAAAUGUAGGAAUAACAUGUGUGCAGAAGUACAUUCCUACUCAUCAUGACGACAGGUGUCAAGAAGGAACUAGGUAGGAAUAACAUGUGUGCAGAAGUACAUUCCUACUCAUCAUGAGGACAGGUGUCAAGAAGGAACUAGGUAGGAAUAACAUGUGUGCAGAAGUACAUUCCUACUCAUCAUGAGGACAGGUGUCAAGAAGGAACUAGGGAUACCCAUAGCAUUUCCCCACUGUUUAAUCAAUCUUAGUGGAACUGGGUCGUCAUGUAAAGUAGUUUCACUUGGGGUGCAUCCAUCAGCCUCCUUAACCACAUAAUAGACAGUGGAGCUGAAACUUCCCCUCUUUUUUUAAGAAUGCCUAGUCGGGUUCUUCUCCUACCAGUACCGAAUAGAACUCGAAAUCGAAUUUCAUUGCGGGAAAUUAGGAUUUCAUGAGGGAGGAAAAGGGGGUGGAGAGUCGUACAAUGCAUUGGUGGGAUGAAGAUCAGAGAAGCGAAUGCCUCUCGUAAUUGAUUGAAAAGUGCUCUGCUGCUUCAAAUAUCAUGACAAUUCAAAUACAAACUGCAGACCUGUACUUACGGUCAGAGAUGAUGGCUGAACAUUCCUUAUUUCCAAUAACAAUACUUUCCGCUUGAAGGAAGUUUCUUAUUGGAUUACAUAAUGCUUCCAGAUCAUCUUCGUUCUGGUCAUAGCUAUUCUGAGUUGUCAUAGUCUUCAAUGUUAGGCAUCUAGGUGCCCUAAGCAGCUUGUCAUUGACUGAUUGAUUUAGAAAACACAUAGAUUCCUGUUUCGCCUGUAGAUAAAGUAUGGUUAAAUAGUUAUGGAAUUCCUCAGGAACUGUGUCCUGAAGUUUCCCACUUUCAAAGAAACUGGAAACCCAUAAUAGUUUCCUAUGGUUAUCUAUGAUCUCUUCUAGGUGCUUGGCAAACUCAUACUCCCUGUGUGAGGUAAUAUAGAAGAUCUUUUAGAUCAUUAAAGUAGUGAUCUAAAAAGUCUUAUAUUAUUUUACAGAUGGAGUCUUCUUUACCACUUAUAAGCAACAUACUCACUGAAUCUACUCACGCUCAUUCUGGAGUGAUGAAGAAUUGAGAUGAUAAUGGAAAUAAGAUCCAUGACAUGUUGCUCCUAAGAUGUGCGACUGAUUGCAAUGGAACAAUAUGCGGAUGCACAAGUUCUUACCAAAACAGAGGUAGCACGGUCUAGAAUAUGGGACACCAAACUGCAAGGGACUUAGGAAGAAUUAUUGUGUGUUGAAACUGAGAGUUGAAAGGGCAGCUAGCAACUGGUCAUGUAUAUCAGACACCUAUCACAAGCAAUUGAUACUGAUAGAGUCCAAAUACUACAGUCAAUUGUGAUUCGAAUAAUUCUAAGCUUAAAAGAACCUCGAAUCCAACAACAUUUUCCGCGCACCAUCUACUCGAUGGUAUGCCCAUAUGGAUUGUUUGAUCUCUUCUCCUCUGCAGACUGCAGGUGCAAGUCCCCCGCUCAUUGAGGGCGUGGUCAGAUUGCUUAAUGAGUUCUUUUAUUUUGGGAUUUUAAGAUGACUACUGCUUGAGCACCAUAGUUGAUUGCUAUUUAUUUCAGAUCAAAUUCUCAAUCAAUUUUUCCUUCCAAUUGAAAUGAAAUAUUCGGCAAAAUAGAAUGAUGUAUAUUGCGAGACUAUGUACUGUAGGAGUUAUUUGAGUAAUGAUGUGAAGGCAAUGUAUAAACUUGGUGAAUUCACUUCAGUUUGCUGAUACUGAUAUACCGCUAUGUGUCCAGCAAGUGUGAUUUGCAAGUCAUAUAUAGUAUGUAUUCACAAACUUUUCUGUGUGUUCCAUUGUACUAAGUCGAACAUCCAUGAGCACAGAUUUGGUUCUAAUCAG